AGAGUUUGAUCCUGGCUCAGGACGAACGCUGGCGGCGUGCCUAACACAUGCAAGUCGAACGGAAACAGAUUGAAGCUUGCUUUGAACUGUUUUAGUGGCGGACGGGUGAGUAACGCGUGAGGAACCUGCCUUUCAGAGGGGGAUAACGUCUGGAAACGGACGCUAAUACCGCAUGACAUUUUGUUGCCGCAUGGUGAUAAAAUCAAAGGAGCAAUCCGCUGAGAGAUGGACUCGCGUCCGAUUAGCCGGUUGGCGGGGUAAUGGCCCACCAAAGCAACGAUCGGUAGCCGGGCUGAGAGGCUGAACGGCCACAUUGGGACUGAGACACGGCCCAGACUCCUACGGGAGGCAGCAGUGGGGGAUAUUGCACAAUGGAGGAAACUCUGAUGCAGCAACGCCGCGUGAGGGAAGAAGGUUUUCGGAUUGUAAACCUCUGUCCUCAGGGACGAUAAUGACGGUACCUGAGGAGGAAGCUCCGGCUAACUACGUGCCAGCAGCCGCGGUAAUACGUAGGGAGCAAGCGUUGUCCGGAUUUACUGGGUGUAAAGGGUGCGUAGGCGGCACUGCAAGUCAGGUGUGAAAACCAUGGGCUUAACUUAUGGAUUGCACUUGAAACUGUGGUGCUUGAGUGAAGUAGAGGCAGGCGGAAUUCCCGGUGUAGCGGUGAAAUGCGUAGAGAUCGGGAGGAACACCAGUGGCGAAGGCGGCCUGCUGGGCUUUAACUGACGCUGAGGCACGAAAGCAUGGGUAGCAAACAGGAUUAGAUACCCUGGUAGUCCAUGCCGUAAACGAUGAUUACUAGGUGUGGGGGGUCUGACCCCUUCCGUGCCGGAGUUAACACAAUAAGUAAUCCACCUGGGAAGUACGACCGCAAGGUUGAAACUCAAAGGAAUUGACGG
Molecule: ribosomal RNA, 899 nt
Filed under: uncultured bacterium
Lineage: Bacteria
Description: bacterial SSU rRNA
Rfam family: Bacterial small subunit ribosomal RNA
Source: RNAcentral